UUUCUACUCCCUCUGUCCGAAAUACUUGUCAUCAAAAUGGAUAAAAAGAGAUGUAUCUAAAACUAAAAUAUGUCUAGAUAGAUUUCCUUUUAUCCAUUUUGAUGACAAGUAUUUCCGGACGGAGGGAGUAUUUG
Non-coding RNA from Triticum urartu, 134 nucleotides. Lineage: Eukaryota; Viridiplantae; Streptophyta; Magnoliopsida; Poales; Poaceae. The record is from Rfam.